Molecule: small nucleolar RNA, 196 nt
Organism: Penaeus monodon (black tiger shrimp)
Lineage: Eukaryota; Metazoa; Arthropoda; Malacostraca; Decapoda; Penaeidae
Product: small nucleolar RNA U3
Exons: 1
Source: RefSeq, a predicted model, not a curated record
AUGUUUCAAUUUUAUAGGAUCACUUCUAUAGUGGAUUCCCGGGUUUCUCCCCGAGUUUCUGGGAAUAUGUUCAACCACGAUGGGGAUUUUUAGUGUAACCCCUUGAGGGGAAGCGGCUCUCAAGCUUUGGUUUGAGAGAUUUGAUGACCCUUUGACUCGGUUUACCGUGUUGAGAGAAAUCAACCCGCUGAGUGGU